CACUGGAAAAGACGCCUCCGUUCAAGUCGGGCGCCGAGAGAGGCAGCGGGACAGCCCGCGGUAGAAGAGUCUGGAUUAAUAAGGAAGAGUAGGAUGAAAUAGCACAGCUCAGGGGCUGCGUUUCUUUCUCGCUUCCACCUCUCCUGAAACACCUACAAGCAGCAGCUUUACGGUUAGAACGUGUAACUCCAAAAGACAGAACGCAGAUACUAUUUAAAGUAUGGCAGAGUGAGCACUUCAAACAAAACAUUUCCUGGGAGUUUCCAGUUCUUCAGUGCUUAGUUAACAGAAACUGCCACUUAAAUUACUACAUUGUACAAAACUCUUAUCUAUGUUUAUUCAUACAAAAGUAUACUUGAAGUUUUUUUGAUGGUUUAAAAACAAACCACAUGAGAUGCCAUGUGGCAAUUUCUCUCUAGUGAUCGCUGUGUAAAAUAUCCAUUUAUAUAUUUUGGAAUUAAUGAUCUACACUACUGUACUUUUGGUUUCAUUUUUUAAAUGCUGAAUGAGCUUAGUAUAUCAUGCCAAGUAAAACUGGAAUCAAUAUUCUGCAUUUUUAUUCCAUGUUCACAAUUGUAUUUCUGCUUAUGAACAAUGCAGCACUAACCACAACUGCACUAAAAUUGAUGUAAAUUGAUGAUAUCGCACUUUUAUCAUUAGAACAGUUUUGAAAACUUCUUGAAAGCAUCUUUGCAGGAAAUGCUCUGUUCCUAGUGUGGCCAAUAAACUUAUGAACUCAAGUUGUGUCAUUGCUGUACUAAUUUUUUUUUAAAUUUUUUUAUUAGUUUUUCAAAACAUUUUACAAAUUAAAAACCCCAAAUCCCAAUGAGGAACAUUAAAACAGUGCAAAAUUAAGAAUACAAUCACAAUAUGCUACAAAGGAAGAGAAUUUAACAAAAAAAAGCACCUACAUUAAAGACAAGUAAGCUUAGUAUCCUCCCCAAGCCCCACAACACAAGAAAAAACAACAGCAACUCCAGACCAACCACAACAAAAUAUAGAGACAGGACAGCCAAACUCCCAGACUGUGAAUACACUCAGCAACAGAGGAUAAUAAUGCCUUCUACCAGAAAAAAAAUAAGGAGCUAAAAGCAAGGGACCGAAAAGAAAAAAAAAACCCUAGUCAAGAGGAAGGUUAUGAAAGUACUCGAUAAAAGGUCCCCAGACCUUAUGGAACUUUAGAUCUGAAUUGAGAACUGAAUAAUGAAUUUUUUCGAGGUCCAAGCAGGCCAUGAUGUCGUUAAGCCAUUGAGCAUGAGUGGGCGGGACAACAUCUCUCCAUCUGAGGAGGAUCAAGCGUCUAGCCAGGAGAGAGGCAAAGGUCAGACCCAGACAUAAAUCUGUCUCACCCCAAAAACCGAACAGAGCAAUUAAGGGGUUUGGUUCUAGGUGCUGAUUCAGAAUACACGAUAACAUAGUGAAGACAUCUUUCCAGAUGUAAAGGGGGUUUCUUCUUUUUUUUGUUACUGUUGGGAAAGGGUUUCUUUUUGUUAACUAGCAGGAAUGCUAAUUUACUGAUAACGAAAAUGGUAUUCCUUUGUAAACCAAAUGGGGAUUAAUGUUCUUUCUUCUGAGUCUGUAAGCUUUUGUUGACGGGCUUUUGGGCAGAUCGGCGCGAGGGGGUCGAGAGAGAGGACGCAAUGCUCUAAGCUGGGCGAGGAUAGGACCCCAAAGGGGGGUCCGAGGCCGGGAGAUUCUCCGGGGGGGGAAUGAAGCUAGAUGUGCUUGGUUGACCACUCGGAGGGUCCUGAGCUGUUUGGAGAGUCGAGGAGUUCGGAGGGUCCUGAGCUGCGAGUCGAGGAGUUCGGAGGGGAUCGAAUGGUGGCCAGAAGACUUCAGUAAUUGAGCUCCAACGGCUGUGCACGAAGUGGUUUGGACUUUGAUAAGUUUGGCGCCUUUUCUUUAAUUUUCUCUUCAUAUAUACUGUAUCGUUAUUAAUCACUUAGUUAUAGUAACCUUUAUAAAUUGUACUCAUUUAAUCGCAUAUGGUGUACUGUCUGUUUUUGGGCGAGGCGGGGACAUCACACAGCAUCCACACCAGCUGAUCACCCAGUUUGGCGGGGCCGAUGGCUGCUCCCCCUAGACGAAACGAGCUGAGCCAGCCUGAGGCGACCCAGGGGGUUACACAGAAUUUC
Hypanus sabinus (Atlantic stingray) is the source of this 2135-nucleotide long non-coding RNA. RefSeq lists it as uncharacterized. The transcript is spliced from 3 exons. The record is from RefSeq and is a predicted model, not a curated record. Lineage: Eukaryota; Metazoa; Chordata; Chondrichthyes; Myliobatiformes; Dasyatidae.